RNAcentral lists this long non-coding RNA (464 nucleotides) under Homo sapiens (human). RNAcentral describes it as "HSALNT0298512". The record is from RNAcentral. Lineage: Eukaryota; Metazoa; Chordata; Mammalia; Primates; Hominidae.
GAGUUCGCAGCCGGAACGUUGCAGGCACUUGUUUCCUCAGUGGAUGCCUUUCGGCGCGCCGCCGCCCGGCGCCGCGGGACUGGGAGACCGGAUUUCUGAGAGAGCAGACACCAUCUUAUUUCUGUUGAAUUGUAUUUAGUAACUCAAAAGGCAUAUACCAAGCUGUCAGAAGCAGCUUCAUUUAAAAGGUAGAUGCCGGUAGAUUGGGCCCAGUAAGUUUGGGCCGUUGGGAUGUGAAAGGAAGAGAUGCGGGCAACUUUUUGGGUCAUCUUCUUAAAGAAAAAGCCAUUUGUCCUGGAUGCCCUCUUUUCUUUUUUCUCUUUGGCUGGGAAAUGACAAGAAUUAAAGCAGCAGCCUUGGAUCCAGAGAUGGACGCCAAUUGAUGAAGACAGCAGAACUGACUGGCUAGUCUGGGUUCCCUGGAGCAGAGCUGUCUCUCCACCCUAGGUUAUCCACUUACUUUU